GAAUCCGAAGCGAAAGCGAGUCUGAAUAGGGCGCUAUAGUCAGUGGGGGUAGACGCGAAACCUUGUGAUCUACCCAUGGCCAGGUUGAAGUUUUGGUAACACAAAAUGGAGGACCGAACCAGUACACGUUGAAAAGUGUUUGGAUGAGCUGUGGGUAGGGGUGAAAGGCCAAUCAAACUGGGAAAUAGCUCGUACUCCCCGAAAUGUUUUUAGGAACAGCCUCGAUUUAUUGUUUGACGGAGGUAGAGCUACCAAUUGGACUAGGGGGUGUCACAACCUACCGAAUCCAGAUGAACUCCGAAUGCCGUCAAAUCUAUAUCGGGAGUGAGGGUAAGGGUGCUAAG
RNAcentral lists this ribosomal RNA (344 nucleotides) under Isochrysis galbana. RNAcentral's name for it is "partial Bacterial large subunit ribosomal RNA". It matches the Rfam family "Bacterial large subunit ribosomal RNA", at positions 662 to 1002 of the family's 2925-position model. The record is from RNAcentral. Lineage: Eukaryota; Haptophyta; Isochrysidales; Isochrysidaceae.